This 97-nucleotide transfer RNA is filed under the name Annulohypoxylon maeteangense. RNAcentral's name for it is "tRNA-Asn". It matches the Rfam family "tRNA". From Rfam's summary of the family: Transfer RNA (tRNA) molecules are approximately 80 nucleotides in length. Their secondary structure includes four short double-helical elements and three loops (D, anti-codon, and T loops). Further hydrogen bonds mediate the characteristic L-shaped molecular structure. tRNAs have two regions of fundamental functional importance: the anti-codon, which is responsible for specific mRNA codon recognition, and the 3' end, to which the tRNAs corresponding amino acid is attached (by aminoacyl-tRNA synthetases). tRNAs cope with the degeneracy of the genetic code in two manners: having more than one tRNA (with a specific anti-codon) for a particular amino acid; and 'wobble' base-pairing, i.e. permitting non-standard base-pairing at the 3rd anti-codon position. The record is from RNAcentral. Lineage: Eukaryota; Fungi; Ascomycota; Sordariomycetes; Xylariales; Hypoxylaceae.
UGCCCAUUGGCCCAGUGGUUAAGGCGUCUGACUGUUACUUCCUUCAAAGAGGUUAAGAGAAAUCAGAAGAUCCCUGGUUCGACCCCAGGAUGGGCAG